UGGGACACGUGACCCGGGCAGUGUUUUGACAGGGCAAACAGCAGAGAAAGAACUGGGCGAGCGAGGGGGCCAGGGAGCUGGGGCGCCAGAGCUAGAGACAGCGGGCGGGCGAGGAGCUGGCAGAGGCGCGGGGCGAACGGGCUGGCCAGGUCGCCAGGCGGCCAAAGCCCGAGGGCCGCGGGGCUCGGGUGCGAGUCGGGCAGGACGAAGGGCUGAGCGUCGGGAGCGGAGCGAGGCGGCGGCCAAGGCGGGGGUGGAUGGCCACAGGGGCGCCGGGGAGCCGCGUCGGGCUUGUUGUCUCGGGCCCCCAUGGUCCCCUAGCGCAGCCUCGGGGGCCGCUGCGCGCCACGCUCCGCUUUUGCCGGCCCUGCGCCUCUCGGAGCCUCACGUCUGAGGUGGGAGUGUGAUGUGAGCCGCUGGGCGAACGGCGGAGUCAAGUGCCUGGAGGAGGAGGUAUUGGGACGGGAGGCGAGAGAGUUAGUCAGCAGAGGUCGGCCGAGGGAGCCAUGAAAACAACUCUCCGGCUGGGAGAGGGGCCGGCGCGGCGCUCCGGACGGCGGGACUGAAGGAAAUCCGGGGCCGCGGCGGGACGGAAGGGGCCCUCACCGGCAGGCUGCACCGAGGAGGGGCGAUCGCCCGGCUGUAAACACCUUCCCGGGACGACCCUCAGGCCCGGCCUCUCAGGGCCAGGGGUGUUGCAGGGGCGACCCGGGGCAGCACAGUACAGUUCUUUUGGGACUGGGGGCUGGGCGCGAGGAGAUGUCUCGGGUUUCUUUUUGACCCUCUUAUUGUGUAAACUUGGCCGCGGUUGAGGCAGGAAGACUAGCCAGAGGGUAAUUACACAGGUGAGGCCUUGCGGGGCGGGCAGAGCGUCGGCGAGGCGUUUGGGGUCUUGAAGAGUCUCCUUCGCUCAAGUCAUCAGGUCCAAGCAUUUCUAUACGAGUCACUGCGGAGGUGCCACUGUUCCCAGAGGCGUUUUUUACAAAGGGGUUAGUUAGCUUGAGUUGCUUGAUCCCCCCCGCCCCCUCGCCUGUACAUUCAAGUUAUAAAUAGAUCUUCUUUUUGGUUUGGAGACGCUGUGUCAAAGAAGGACACUUUGGCCUGGAGAGCACAGGGGCGGGGAAGAAGGGUGCUUGGUCCGGAGUCGAUUGGGGGGGCGGGGAGGCGGCGGUGUAGAGUUUUGCUUUUUUCAGACCUGCGGAUGGUGCUGUCACCGCUCUUACUGCCAGGAAGAGGCCUGUUAGCAGUAGUUUUCUUGCAAGAUCGAGUGUUAGGGCAGGACCAGAUUAAUUUUAUUUUGACCUCUUUUAGCGUUUUGAAAACGAAGCAGUAGCUGCAAAAUCAGCGGCGAGCCUGUUGAAGAGAACCCACACGUGUAUUUCACAGCACCUUGGGUGGAUAUCGACGUGAAAAUGAAGCCAGACCGAGAUACUCUGGAUGAAUAUUUUGAGUAUGAUGCAGAGGAAUUCUUGGUCUCUCUGGCCUUGUUAAUAACAGAAGGACGAACACCUGAAUGUUCUGUUAAAGGUCGGACAGAAAGUUUCCAUUGUCCUCCAGCACAGUCCUGUUACCCAAUAACUACAAAACAUGAAUGUAGUGACAAGCUGGCCCAGUGUCGCCAAGCCAGACGAACUAGGUCUGAGGUCGCAUUGUUGUGGAAGAAUAACCUUCCAAUCAUGGUGGAAGUGAUGCUACUACCAGACUGCUGCUACAGUGAUGAUGGGCCCACCACCGAAGGAAUUGAUCUAAAUGAUCCUGCUAUUAAACAAGAUGCGUUAUUAUUAGAAAGAUGGAUAUUAGAGCCAGUUCCUCGACAGAGUGGUGAUCGAUUUAUUGAAGAGAAGACUCUCCUGUUGGCUGUCCGCUCAUUUGUGUUUUUUUCUCAAUUAAGUGCUUGGCUGAGUGUUUCUCAUGGUGCUACUCCACGAAAUAUUCUUUACAGAAUCAGUGCUGCUGAUGUAGACCUACAGUGGAAUUUUUCACAGACUCCAAUUGAACAUGUGUUUCCUGUUCCCAAUGUUUCUCACAAUGUGGCCUUGAAAGUCAGCGUUCAGUCCUUGCCCAGACAAUCUAAUUAUCCAGUUUUGACCUGUAGUAUUCACACUAACAUUGGCCUUUAUGAGAAAAGAAUUCAAGAACAUGAACUUAAAACCCAUCAGCACCGAAAUUCUACAGAAGCAGAUCAUUGUAGUACAGACAGUUCACAACGUGUUUGCAGCAAACAAACUUGGACCAUGGCACCUGAAAGCAUAAUAUUACAUGCAAAAAAUGGCACAACUCCAGAAUAUAGUGCAGCUGUCAAAAAUGUCAAGCUAUAUCCAGGCACUGGUAGUAAAUCUGACUAUGGAACAUCUCAAGGCAAUAUUUUAGGCUUCAGUAGUAUAGGAGAGAAAAAGUCACAUGAAACAUCAGUGAGAACCUUAAAAUCAUUUUCAGUGGUUGAUUCCAGUGACUCUAGUCGCCAGAGUUCCUGGCAGUCAGUUGGUGAGACUAAUCCUUUAAUAGGCUCUUUAAUUCAGGAGCGGCAAGAAGUUAUUGCAAGAAUAGCUCAGCAUCUGAUUCAUUGUGAUCCAAGUACUUCCCAUGUUUCUGGACAUCCACUUAAUAUGCAAGAAUCUAGUUCACUUAAUUCAAAACUUUUCCGUGUUUCACAAGAAAAUGAAAGUGUACGAAGAUGUAAAGAAACAUUCUCUGUCUCUUUUGGCAGUCCAGAGCUCACCUCUUCAGAAGAUACCAGUGAAGGGAAGAUUCGAGUAAAACCAGAAACUCCUCGAAAUGACACUUGCAUCUCUAAUGGUCUUCAUUCUCAUCAGUCUGUUGGUGAGACUAAUCCUUUGAUAAGCUCUUUACUCCAAGAACGGCAAGAUAUCAUUGCAAGGAUUGCUCAACACUUGGAGCAUAUUGAUCCAAUGGCAUCUCACAUGCCCCGGCAAUCAUUCAAUAUGCAGGACUCCAGUUCAGUUCCUUCUAAAGUAUUUAGGAGUUCCUAUGAAGACAAAAAUUUACUGAAGAAAAACAAGGAUGACACCUCUGUUUCCAUUUCUAAUACAAAAUUUUCCUUGUUAGAUGAUAUCAGUGAAGGGAAAAACUCAAUAUCUAAUAAAUAUUUUAGUUCUUUUAAUUGCAACAGUAAAGUCAAGCCUUCUUUGCAACCUCAAACAAGAAGAAAUCUGUAUAAGGACAAUCCUAGUGAAAUCCAAAGUACGUUUCAGGAGACACAGAACAAAGCUCCUGGUUUAAUGACCCCUUCAAAUAUAUCUCACUGCAAAGAAAAUAACUUUGAUUUGACAAUCAGGUUAGAAAACACAUGUUCUGAGUGUCAAUUUAAGAAGCAAGAAAUUAACGAUGAGAUUGAUAAAGAGCAUUCAAAUUGUAACAGUAUUGACAAACAGAUUUACACAAAUAAGUAUAAGGACAAAAUAAUAAAUGAAAAUUAUAAUCCAGAAUCUUUUAGCAAUCACCAGUGUGAUAAUUCAAAAAAAAAUGACUCGAAAGUAAAAGUUACUGUGUUGGAAAUGUCUGGAUAUCUGAGUAAACAUGAAAACGAGUGCUCAAAUAAAGACCCAAAAAGGCCUAAGCCAUGUGAACAAAACACUCAACUUAAUAGUAUAGAAAAUUAUCUUAUUAAAGAUAGUGAAGGUUUCAAAUGCAAAAAGCUAGACCAAUUAAGAAAUGAACAGGAUAAGAAAGAUCCGAUUGAUGAAAACUCUCAAAACUCUUCUCAGAGAAAGAAUAUAAAAGACUGUUUGUCCACAUGUGAACGACUGAAAAAUAAAGAGGUGUUGCAGAAAACUAUACCAUUUAGACACGCAAGUGUCUGGCAGAAACAUAAUUUUCAUUCCUUGGAUGGAACCUCAACCAGAGCCUUUCAUCCUCGAACUGGAUUGCCUCUUCUUUCCAGUCCUGUUCCUCAAAGAAAGGCACAAUCAGGUUGCUUUGAUCUGGAUUCUUCAUUCCUGCAUCUGAAAAACUUAUCAUCUAGAAGUCCUCAACCAUGUUUAAACAUUGAAGAUGAUCCAGAUAUUCAUGAAAAACCACUUCUCAGUUCUAGUGCUCCACCUGUAACAAGUCUUAGUCUCUUAGGAAAUUUUGAGGAGUCUGUCUUGAACUAUCGUUUAGAUCCUCUCGGCAUUGUUGAUGGCUUUACUGCAGAGGUAGGGGCAAGUGGUGUCUUCUGCCCCACCCAUUUGACUCUUCCAGUUGAAGUGUCAUUCUACAGUGUUUCCGACGAUAAUGCUCCCUCUCCUUAUAUGGGUGUGAUUACUUUAGAGUCCCUUGGUAAAAGGGGUUAUCGAGUACCUCCUUCAGGAACAAUACAAGUGGUAUGUGUUUUAUAGCCUACAAUUGCAAUAAUCAUUCUCUCACAUACAUAUAGAACUUAGCCCUUUCUCCUGCUACUGCUGCUGCAACAACUUUGACCUUAUUUAAUCCUAAUAAGACUGUGGUGAAGAUGUUUGUUGUGAUAUAUGACUUGCGAGAUAUGCCAGCCAAUCAUCAGACAUUCCUACGACAAAGAACUUUUUCUGUACCUGUUAAACAAGAAAUGAAAAGAAGUGUCAAUAAAGAGAACAUCCGACAUACAGAAGAACGGUUAUUACGCUACCUCAUACAUCUGAGGUUCCAGAGUUCUAAAUCUGGAAAGAUCUACCUCCAUAGAGAUGUACGGCUCCUGUUCUCUAGAAAGUCAAUGGAAGUUGAUAGCGGUGCUGCAUAUGAACUCAAAUCUUACACUGAAUCGCCAACAAACCCUCAGUUUUCACCAAGAUGUUGAUAAAGAGUGACAGCUUAAAGUAUUUGCCCAGUACCCAAGUUUGAAAGUAAAAAUUAGCAUAGAAAGGAGUGUACCAAAUUAACAAGCAGGGGAGUGGAUCUUCUCCUGUUUUCCUGGACCAGUUUUUAAUCAAAGGAUUCCUGGAAUGAGCUCUACAUAUUCCAAGUAGACUGGAAAUACUCAUGUCCUAAUCCUUUUUGUACUGUUGAAACCACUUCAUUGGACAUGUUGCAAUAGCAAAUCCCUUCCCCCCCACAAUUAGAUUAGUGUUUACACUUUUUAUUUCUCAGUUAUUUAAUAUUUAAUGUUUUCCUUAAUACUCAAGUGAUGUUUGUCUCUAGUGUUCUAAUGUAGCACAAAUCCUAUGUAAAAUCAUACUGUGUAUUUUUGACAUUACUGUUGAAAUCUGAAAUAUAUGCACAAGUCUUUUAAUUUUG
Capra hircus (goat) is the source of this 5208-nucleotide RNA transcript. It is a transcript of the gene named family with sequence similarity 214 member A, with no coding region annotated. The record is from RefSeq and is a predicted model, not a curated record. The transcript is spliced from 12 exons. NCBI's taxonomy places the organism in Eukaryota, Metazoa, Chordata, Mammalia, Artiodactyla, Bovidae.